This 237-nucleotide ribosomal RNA is filed under the name uncultured Symbiodinium. RNAcentral describes it as "partial Eukaryotic small subunit ribosomal RNA". It matches the Rfam family "Eukaryotic small subunit ribosomal RNA", at positions 1454 to 1693 of the family's 1831-position model. The record is from RNAcentral. Lineage: Eukaryota; Dinophyceae; Suessiales; Symbiodiniaceae.
CAACAGGUCUGUGAUGCCCUUAGAUGUUCUGGGCCGCACGCGCGCUACACUGAAGGGAUCAGAAUGUUUUCCCUCUCCGAGAGGAGCGGGUAACCUUUAGAACCCCCUUCGUGGUAGGGAUCGGGGCUUGCAAUUAUUCCCCGUGAACCAGGAAUUCCCAGUAAGCGUCAGUCAUAAGCUGGCGUUGAUUACGUCCCUGCCCUUUGUACACACCGCCCGUCGCUACUACCGAUUGAA